Molecule: non-coding RNA, 5180 nt
Organism: Anas platyrhynchos (mallard)
Lineage: Eukaryota; Metazoa; Chordata; Aves; Anseriformes; Anatidae
Source: RefSeq, a predicted model, not a curated record
UUUCGAUUGGUGGCAAUUUGUACACUAAGUACACUAAUAGGACAAUUAAACCAAAUACACAACUAUAAGAAAGUGAAAUACUGGUUCUGCUUAGAUUGCAAAUUAAGUUAUUCAUUUCUUCUGUAGACUUCAGGUGGGUGCCUAGAUUUGCUAAACGGUUAAAAUUCGUCAGGUGGAGAUGUUGGCCUUUGGCUACAAUGAAAGUGGUGCAGGAGAACACCUGGAGAACAGUGAGAAAAGCUUUAUCUGAAACAGGGGUGGGUAUUUGCCCUUUGGAGUUGGCUGGCAUGAUCUCCUGGUAAAAUGAGAGAGCCUUCAUUCCUCUGAAACUUUCCUUGUGCUUACUGCUAUGGAGCUGCACAAGCAGUUGUUUGCAGGCCUGGCUUAGUGAGGAAAUGGAAUUCGUGGAGUUUUACAUCGGCAAUAAUAACCCGUAGCAUCUCUACAGCCUCUUCUGUCUUCAAAGCCCUGUGCAAAUACGAGCUGAUUAAUCACACCUGAGCGCCUGAUAGGCCAUCGUUUUGAGAAGAAAGCGUUUUGUUCCGCACAAAAGCAACGGUUCAGAGCCUGCCCUCGUUCACGCCUCCCCUUCACUUUGCAAACAGCAAAGCUGAGACAAUGACGAUAGCCACUAAGAGAGGAAGGACCAAGUACAAUGUUAAUAUUGCCAACCUGCUGCAUGAGGAAUGAACCAUGCUUGUAUAAAUUAAUUGGGGUCUUAAGCAAAAUCGAGGCAUGAACAUGCUGGUCUUACUUGCAAAAGAGAGAAGGCAGAGAAAGGGAUCCCAGAGGUACUGCAAGCCUGUUUUGCUGCUGAGCGUUCUGUACCAUGAAACCACAGCCCCAUGGAGCACAAGAACAACAGGAGGUGUGCGUUACACUGCCUUUUCAUCUGCUGGGCAUCAUGUGGAAAUGAGAAAAGUUGGCACAGAAAACUACAGAACCACCACAGUGAACAAGAGUGACAAAGCACGGAGCUCCUGCUCCCACCGGGGUCAGCAACCACCAGGGUCCUCUUGGUUGGUGCCAACUGAACCAAAAGGAAGAAUCAGCAAGAUGAUAACUUCAACGAAAUGGAGGGCAGAGCUCUGGGUGGUGGUGCUCUGGCCUUACUCAUAACUGUACCCUUCCUGUCACCCAUUAAUAAGCAGGUUUGGUUUGUUUGUCCUUGUGCCAUAUUUUGGUUUGGUAACAAUAGUCUGGGUGAUGGUAGAAACACUUCAAAUGCUGGCAAUGUACAUCUCACUAUAAGAGGUAGAACUAUGCUUUUAUUAUUAUUAUUAUUAUUUAUCAUUGUCAAUUAAGAUUCAGAACCAAAUCACCACAUUUGAUGGGAAUUCCUCCUCUGGCUUCCAGGGGUAUUGAAACUUUGUGCUGUUUUAGUGGCUCUCCAGAGAAGGUUUCAGUUUAUUUCCAGGCAUGAUGCAUUCCAGUUGGUUUAGCAGGAAGCUGGCAGUGGUGGAUCUUUUAAAACACACGUUGCAGGAAAGAGCAAAGGACUGUAGUGCGAGAAAUUGAGGUUUUGUGCUAAGUGUGAAAAGUGGAAAUUUGUCUCUGCAUUCAAGGAAGAUGUGGCCUGUUGGGUAGAGCAGAAACAGAGCCAGGGCAGAUUUCUGCAUUUAAUUUCUGGCUUUGUUAUUGUCUGUGGUGAGACUUCAUGUGUGCUCCCACCUCCUAUUUUUAAGAUGAAGUCUUUACUUGCUAAAACGGUGAAAACCAAUGGCUCUGCAAGAGCUUUGGCUGAUAGACACAGACAAAACUUGUGGUGUCUUCUGUCACCCAUAGCAAACUGUAACUAACCUUCUUUCAAGUCACUCAGUUGAAUUACUAAAUGCCUAAUUUAAAGAAACAAGUUUUAAGCUAAUUUUUAAUGUAACAACCUUUAAAAAUAUUGGGACCUAUCCCCAUACUUGCCCUUCCUCCUGAUUCUUUUUCUUGCUAGAAUGCAGUGCAAGGAGGUAAAAGAAGAAGAGGCUGUGCCACCUCUCUCCUUCCUCACCCUGCAGCCAGCAGAAAAGGCAUAAACAAAGCACCGGUGUGCUCUGACUCUCAGGGACCUCCUGUGCCUGGCUGCCUUACGCCUGUGUGACAACUUCAGGACAAACCAGAAAUCCAAAGAGAGGUGGCUGAGGAGAAUUCUUUGUACAGAUUUUUUUCCAUGUUUGACAAAAUUUGAAAACGGGUUUUUUGGCAGGGAAAUGUAGUUUAAAUUUUGGGAAGCUUUUUUUUUUUUUCUUAAUCAUAAGGGGAAUCUACAGAAGAAAUACUUCCAAAGAAUGUUGUUUAAGACUACAUUAAUGAAUUUGCUGAAAGAGAAAUAUGGUUUUGUACAAGAUGUUUUGCGGGUGAAAAAUAAUACAUUGCAUAGGACUUUCUCCAGUUUGUAGUCAUUGCGAGAACUUUCUCUGGAGUCAGCUCACUACUGGCUAGCACCAUACAACAGAAGUUUUUGACAGGAAAUUGGUGUCAAGUGCUGGCAUUUUGCAACUGACAUUCACUUUCCCCUGGUGUAAAUGACGCUGCGAGACAAGAGGACCCAACCCUAGUGAAGCCCAACGAGUGUAACCACAGUACCUCACUGGGGCUGCUUGGCUCUGGCCCAAGGUGAUGGCUGACACAGGUGUGUGAUUUGGGGGAUUCAAACCUCAGGGAAAAAAAAAAUUAUGAAGAUACAUCGGCACGUGCACUGCUGGAUCUGUCUGAGGGUACUUCCAUCCUCUCUGACAACAUCACACUUGCCAUGCUGCAAGCAAGGAACUCUUUGAGCAUUCCCUGCAUUGCAGGAAUGUGCCUGAUAUCCUCAUCCAGAUGGAUUUUACCUGGGCUGUUCCAGGCCAUCUUCCAUCUCCACAGCACUUGGUUGCAAUGCAUUAUCACCAUUUCCUCAAUUAUCGCACUUAUUGUCUUUCUGCAAGUGAACGGUGAGGCAGUUUGUUAGGCGAUGUGAAAUAUAUUACCAUCAAUAUUUCUUCUUGCACUGUCAAAUCUUGUGCCUGAUGCUUUUCCUUUUUCUGUCGUGCUCUCACUGCUACAACUCCAGCACCUCUGCCUUGUUAAUCACAAAUCAGGAGUGCCAGUGAGGGAAAGGUUCAUGUGCAAACACACACACACCUUUUAUUGCCACACAGUCACAAGAAACAAUAGUUUAUUCCUGUUAUUAACAUCUGAUUACAAUUUGUUUGUUUUUUCUAUUACUGCAAAAAUAAUAUCCAGAAUUGGAGAAGCUGUACUUCUGUUUUGAAGAGAGAAAGCAAGUGUUGGAAGUGAUGCUUUGUGACGAUGGAGAGUUUACUCAGCUUCAAGGAGGCAGCUCUCACAGCUCUACUCCACCCAGGACACAGCAAGCAAGAAAUGACCACUGGCAUUGCUCCUCAGUCUGUGCUAGCAGAAGGCUCCCAGCUGGAAGCCCACCCUGGCAUGUCUGUGUGGUCAUUUGACUACACACAGCCAGGGAGGUUUGGAGGGACAGAACUAAGUCCCAUGGCUGCACCUGCAACUCUCCUUGCCACACAGGGCAGGGAGACAGGAACCUGGUCCUCCCUGGGACACUAACCAGCCUCCUCACCCUGCUCUGGUGGCCCAAGGUUCACAGAGAUUUCUACCUGCUGCAGGAGGUGUUUCUGGAGACAGUUCUUCAAGAAGUGAUCUUGAAACCUCAGGCAAAGUUCCUGAUGACCUGAAUAGUUAUGAACCAAGCAGAGCAGGGAUGAGGGCUAUGGCUCUUACCCACUAAGAUUUUGACAUCUCUGGCUUAUUGGCUUACUGAGAGCCCAAAGUGUUGGUUGAGGGCUCAUCCUACUUCUUGAUAAGGACUUGGGUCCAGUGCUUGGAAAAUCCUGAGGCACAUAGCUCCCAUCACCUUAGGAUUUGGUGAAAGUAGUUUCUGAAAUUUGUUGCUGCAUCAUCUUGAGGAUUUACAUGCUCAAUUCUCCCCCUGCUCCCCUUCUUGGUAGCACUGCUUACAUUGUGUGCUGCCUGAUGGGUCAGGGAAGAGGCUCUCCUGUGACACCAAAGUCAGGGUUUGCAGGGUCACAAGGCCCCUGUGGAAACAUCUUGCAGAGGUGAGGGAGUGCACAGGUUGGUAUCGGAAAGUUGCGGUCAUUCAUGGCCCAUCGCCCUGGAGAAACCCUCACCCAGGCUGGCUGUGAUGCUUAGCCUACAUGCACGUGAUCCCAGGGAAAUAUUUAGGGAGUCAAGGGCCUAAGGGCUUUAGACCUAUGCCCUUGUCCCCUUUCCUGAUCAUGUAUUUUUGUGCUAUAAGAACUUCAUAAAACAGCCUUGCAGAAGUUUCUUGGCCUGUUGUCUAUUUCUGCCUGUUUUCAUCUCCUCCCCAGUUGCAUUAGGCAAAGCCAUAGACAAAUGACCACAAGCAAAAAUGGCAGGGUGCAGGUCUGUGGCCACCUCCUGCCACCACUGGCCUGCUCUCUGGAGUAACCACAGGAUGAAUUUACUCCCUGAGUGCAAACUGCAGGGGUUGUGCCAGGGAUGUUGAGAUGUGAUGACGUAGUUCUAUGUGCAGAGCUGAGCUUGCAGUGUGGGCAGGCAGGGGGCCGAUAAACGUGUGUGUGUGGCAAAAAGAAAAAUUGGAGCCUCUUUCCCCUUCUAGUUUCGUGUUGGCCUUGACCGUUCUCUGAUGCUGUUCAGCAAAAGCCGGGUGCUGGGCAGGAAAGCAGCAGCCAAAUACUCCAACAAGUGGCUUGUUAGUGAGGAAUGUCCUGCGCGAGCUUUGCCGUGGUCUCCCUGCUCUGCACUGCAGCCUCCUUCCCCGGGGUCAGGGCAAGAGCCAGAGCCAGACAAUGCCAUACCGACUGCUGCAGCAUCACCAGGUUGGAUCUGAAGCACUACGUAUGCCACAACACACCAUCCAAACAGCAACUGAUGGUAGAGAGAAAAAACAAGCAACUUUGCUAGGUGUUCUGAGUCACUGCAACCCUCAGUCUGCCCCAUAAAAUCAGCAGAGUUGCAGAAUCCGAUUCAAAGCCCCAGCAAAGUCAAAAUGAUCCUUUGACUGGCUUGAGGAGACAGCCGAUAGACCAAAACAACCCAAACCUUUCCCUUUGUCCCCAGAAAACGUUUGAACGUUUGCAUGUAAUGAAACAUUCAGUAGGCCAGGAAUAAAUUAAGUGCAGAAUCUCAACUCCUUUAAUAAAAUAAUCUGCUAAACUGACACUUGUGUGUGG